UACAGAGGGUGCAAGCGUUAUUCGGAAUUAUUGGGCGUAAAGGGUAGGUAGGUGGUCUUGUUUGUCUGGGGUGAAAUCCUUGGGCUUAACUUAAGAAGUGCCUCAGAAACGGCAAGACUAGAGUCCUGGAGAGGGUCGUGGAAUUCCCGGUGUAGCGGUGAAAUGCGUAGAGAUCGGGAGGAACACCAGAGGCGAAGGCGGCGACCUGGACAGGUACUGACACUCAACUACGAAAGCGUGGGGAGCAAACAGG
Molecule: ribosomal RNA, 253 nt
Filed under: uncultured bacterium
Lineage: Bacteria
Description: partial 16S ribosomal RNA
Rfam family: Bacterial small subunit ribosomal RNA
Source: RNAcentral